AAAAAAGCAAACCCUGGGUUUCCGUGUCUAACGUUUGACCGUUCGUCUAAUUUAAAAAAAUAUGAAAAAAAUUAAAAAGACAAGUCACGCAUAAAGUAUUAAUCAUAUUUUAUCAUCUAACAACAAUGAAAAUACUAAUUAUAAAAAAAAUUCAUAUAAGACGGACAGUCAAACGUUGGACACGGAAACCCAGAGUUUGUCUUUUU
Molecule: non-coding RNA, 206 nt
Organism: Oryza glaberrima (African rice)
Lineage: Eukaryota; Viridiplantae; Streptophyta; Magnoliopsida; Poales; Poaceae
Source: Rfam